CUUCCCUUUCUUAAAGGGUCGACGACCAGAAGAAGACCCUCCCACAACAUUCACCGACUCCUUAUGGAGCUGGUGGUCCUUCUCAAAGUUCUGCAGCAACCCCAACAAGUCGUGGUAGUUUACUGCAGGCUUUGUCAUCCGAAAAUGAGUAAGGAAGGGGAGGAAGGACUUGGGCAAAGAAUUAAGGAUCGCAUCCUUACCGAGCUGCUCGU
This 212-nucleotide long non-coding RNA is filed under the name Elaeis guineensis (African oil palm). Its description in RNAcentral is "long non-coding RNA (EGUI_LNC047436)". Lineage: Eukaryota; Viridiplantae; Streptophyta; Magnoliopsida; Arecales; Arecaceae. The record is from RNAcentral.